UACGUAGGGUGCAGGCGUUAAUCGGAAUCACUGGGCGUAAAGCGCACGUAGGCGGAUGUGUCAGUCAGGGGUGAAAUCCCGGAGCUCAACUUCGGAACUGCCCCUUGAUACAGCACGUCUUGAGUCCGGAAGAGGUGGGUGGAAUUCCCCCAAGUAGAGGUGAAAUUCGUAGAUAUGGGGAGGAACACCGAUGGCGAAGGCGGCCACCUGGACGGUAACUGACGCUGAGACGCGAAAGCGUGGGGAGCAAACAGG
This 255-nucleotide ribosomal RNA is filed under the name uncultured bacterium. Its description in RNAcentral is "partial 16S ribosomal RNA". It matches the Rfam family "Bacterial small subunit ribosomal RNA", at positions 524 to 776 of the family's 1533-position model. The record is from RNAcentral.